AUGAAUGGCAGGUAUGGUUUCCUUCUUCGGCAUCUUACUCGUGGUGGGACGCCAGAUCUGGAGUUCGAUGGCAUGUCCGGGGAGUUGCCCCGGUCUGAUUCGUUCAACAGCAAGGGUUUCAUUUUUUGUGAGCCACCUUGGAGGUCCGCAAAGCUGCAUAUCAGCUAUGGAGCCGCGUCGAGCUCGGGUGAGGUGGUGAUUCGUCAUUCUUUUCUUCGGUGGCUACUGUGGUGGUGCCGGAGGCAGGUGACGGGCGUUGGUGUCAAGCUUAGAAAUGUUUUGCUAUCUUUUCAGUUCUGA
This 300-nucleotide ribosomal RNA is filed under the name Triticum aestivum (bread wheat). Its description in RNAcentral is "partial small subunit ribosomal RNA". The record is from RNAcentral. Lineage: Eukaryota; Viridiplantae; Streptophyta; Magnoliopsida; Poales; Poaceae.